This 1489-nucleotide long non-coding RNA is filed under the name Linum usitatissimum (flax). Its description in RNAcentral is "long non-coding RNA (LUSI_LNC007843)". Lineage: Eukaryota; Viridiplantae; Streptophyta; Magnoliopsida; Malpighiales; Linaceae. The record is from RNAcentral.
UGACAAUUAAUCAUCUUCUCCUUUCUUCUUCCUGAUAUCUGGUUGCCUCCGAUCCUCAUCUCUUCCUUUCCUGUCUGUUCCUCUUCUCGUAAUGGUUGACACCACUUUUCCAUCCGUCCCCGCGGCUCCGUCUAGAUCUGUUUCCAAUCCGAGUGCUUUGAGGGGUAAGGGCUCCGACGUCCAGUUGAGAGGUCCUCCUUGGGCAUCGAUUGUGAAGUUCGUUGCCAUCCUGAACUCGACGUUUGUGAACGAAGCCCUUACUAUUCUGGAGUCAAUGAUUGCUAAGGGUUUGCUCAAGAUGCGUGCUGCUGCUGUGGCCCAGUUCAUGGGCUGCGUCCCUUCGAUUCGUGUAAUUUUCCCAUGAUUAAUCGGCUGUGGGGUGGCUAUGAGGGUGAGAUUAUCUUAUCGCAGCUUUUCAAGGGAUUUUUUCUGUUUGAGUUUCCAUCGAUUGCACUUUGCGAUUGGGUUCUUAGUAGGAUGUGGCAUGUUCAUCAUUGUCAUGUGGUGCUUCGUAAAUGGCAGCCAGGAUUCUCCCACUUGAUCUUAUUAUUAAGGAAGUACCUAUUUGGAUUCGGCUUCACAACGUGCCUCAGCACCUGAUUACAAAUGACGGGAUUGAAUGGUUGGUCAAUCUUAUUGGAGCACCUAUCAACAUGUUUAUUCGUGAGGGUCUUACGGUCAAAGUUUGUAUUGUUUUGUAAGCAUGUAAACUAUGCCCUACUAGUGUCGAUAUCACUUUGGAUGGGGAGAUAACUACGAUUCUGAUUGACUCACCUCAAGCUCGAUCCUAUGAUGAGAAGCAGGUUACUAAGAGGGAAUGGAGACCUAAAUCCCAACCUCACAUUUUGGUAUCCACUAGUGCGCCCCCAAGCAAUGGCGAUGAGCCUUCUUAAUUUGCAAGAGAAGUCUCCACAUGAGGACGCUAGUCCGACAUCAGCUAGAGGGGGAGUGAACGCCGCUGUUGAGGCUUAUUUGGAAGCUGGGACGCAAGUGCUCACUCAACAUGAUGUUGCAUCUCAAACUUCUCUGCAAGUGGAGGAUGCCAUCUUGAGCCCUAAUGGUGAUGAUCAGAUAGGUCAACAGCUUCAAGAUUUAGUGUCAUCGGUUGUACAAGAUGUUCUGGUUGAUCCCUCUGAUGGAUCUCGGGAUGAGCAUGUUCAUGAAGAAAUAGUGAUUGAAAACCCUGACGACUGUCCAACUCUUCAUAGCCCAGGGCAAGCAACAUUGGUGACUUCUUAUCAAAGGGGGAGUGCAGUCUGCCAAAGCUAAGAAGGGUAGGAAGCAAGGAAAGAAGGGGAAAUGAAGGUUUUGAUAUGGAACUGACAAGUGGUUCAAUUCCCCUCUUAAACAUAAAUAUAUUAGUAUUUAUCUAAAUAAAUUGAAUAUAGAUAUUUUGGGUGUGUUAGAGACUAGAGUUAAGAAUCGGAAAGCAGCAAAAAUCUUGGAGACUGCUUUUUCUACUUGGCACAAUUUUACGAAUUAUGAUUGC